GAGAGAGAGAAACCAAGAAACAGACUCUUAAUUACAGAGAACAAACUGAUGGUUACUAGAGGAGAAGGGGUGGGGGGAUGGGGGAAAUAGGUGACAGGAAUUAAGAGGACACUUAUGAGCGCUGA
Herpailurus yagouaroundi (jaguarundi) is the source of this 125-nucleotide long non-coding RNA. RefSeq lists it as uncharacterized. The transcript has 3 exons. The record is from RefSeq and is a predicted model, not a curated record. Lineage: Eukaryota; Metazoa; Chordata; Mammalia; Carnivora; Felidae.